GUCUAUGGCCAUAUCACCCUGAACACACCCAAUCUUGUCUGAUCUUGGAAGUUAAGCACUGUCAGACCUGGUUAGUACUUGGAUGGGAAACCUACUACCCCAUGCCCCAGGCCACUAUCACUU
Molecule: ribosomal RNA, 123 nt
Organism: Bison bison bison
Lineage: Eukaryota; Metazoa; Chordata; Mammalia; Artiodactyla; Bovidae
Source: Ensembl